Gastrolobium bilobum is the source of this 510-nucleotide long non-coding RNA. RefSeq lists it as uncharacterized. The transcript has 3 exons. The record is from RefSeq and is a predicted model, not a curated record. NCBI's taxonomy places the organism in Eukaryota, Viridiplantae, Streptophyta, Magnoliopsida, Fabales, Fabaceae.
UCUCUAAUCUAAUCUUAAACUUGUUCCUUUGCUUUACUUAUAUCUUGCUUCCAAUUCCAACAUCCAUUGCAGUUUUCAGCUCUUAUCUUAGGUCUCUGUCUCUCUCACUCUCGAAUCCUCAAGUAUAUAGAAGUAGGAGGAGAUUAAACCUUUGAUGAUUGGUGAAACAGAAUCUACAGUCAAAGCACCCUCCGAGGUCCCCAAGCCAUAGUUAAUUGAAGCUACCACAACCAAGCCAGAGACUCAAACAAUUGUUACACAAGAAGGUUCAACGUAUUGUGACAGCUACGAUCUACAAGAAAAAAUGAGUCAGACAUGAAAUAUGAAAUGCGAUUGAGGUGAGAAUAUGUUGCAUUAUCUUUUAUGUUAUUUUAUUUUAAAAAUUAUAUGUUUACCUCUUGUAAGAUGAAAAUGUUUUAUACUUGAAUCUAUUUUAAUGUCAACAAACAUUUUAGGUGUGGUAAGCACUGUGGACGAGUCUCUCAACGUUAAUGUUUUUCUUUAUGAAUG